Molecule: ribosomal RNA, 495 nt
Filed under: uncultured bacterium
Lineage: Bacteria
Description: partial 16S ribosomal RNA
Rfam family: Bacterial small subunit ribosomal RNA
Source: RNAcentral
GACGAACGCUGGCGGCAUGCCUAAUACAUGCAAGUAGAACGCUGAAGGAGGACUUUGCUCCUCUGGAUGAGUUGCGCGCGGGUGAGUAACGCGUAAGUAACCUGGCUGGUAGGGGAGGAAGACCAUUGGAAACGGUAGCUAAUACCGCAUAACAGCAGUUGUUGCAUGAGAACUGUUUGAAAGGUGGAAUUGCAACAAUACCAGAUGGACUUAGGUUGUAUUUGCGAGUAGGGGGGAUAACGGCUCACCAAGGCGACGAGACAUAGCAGACCUGAGAGGGUAAUCUCCCACACAGUGAAUGAGACACGGCCCAGACACCUACGGGAGGCGGAAGUAGGGAAACUUCGGCAAUGGAAGGAAGUCUGACCGCGCAACGCGGCGUGAGUGAAGAGGAGUUUCGGGUCGUAAAGCUCUGUUGAAGGAGAAGAGAGAGGGAGAGAGUGGAAAGUUCACACUGUGGCGGUAUCUAACAAGAGAGGGACGGCUAACUACGUU